UUCUCUUUCUGACUGUGUGUGUGUGUGUGCGUGCGUGCGUGCAUGUGCCCUGUCUGACCACAUGUGGAGAGACAUGAUUGAGUGAUAGUGUGUGUCUGUGUGACUUUGUGUGGGGAGGCACUCCUGAAGAAAACUUGCCCGGUGCACACACGUAAAAUGCCUGUAUAUGGGGACAGAUACAGCACGUGCAUGCAUACACACACACACACACACACCACAGUUGAGAGGAGACAAACUAGAGUAUGUGCCCGUGGUAGGAAGUCGAGUGGUCAAGAGAUGGAUCUUGGAAACUACAUAGGUCGGUAGCAAGAGGGUAGACUCCCAUCUCACAAGAUGGGCCUCCCUUGGCCCAGGCCCUGAGCACGGGAGGGCUGGGGCCGCCAGGGAACUUGAAAACCUCAUCUCCUCACAAAGCCUGUAGCCCCAUCUCAACCCCGUCUCAGUCUCCUUCCCAAACUCAAACAAGGUGUUCCUAAAAUUGGACCACCAUGGAGAAUGGGGACUGGGAAUUGAGGAUCAAAUGUGAGGGAAACUGAUGAGGUUAGGAAAUGCCCCCCACAAAGUAAUGGCUUCUGGAGGGACUGCUCAGUCUGGGAUGGGAGCCCUUCCUAGGGGCCACUGUAUGCAGCUGGGACUUUGGUCAGCUUUGACCAAAUUUAGAGGGAGGGAUGUCAUGGGGAAAAAAAACCCAAGCCCAGGAGUCUACCCAGCCAGCCUGCUCCCUAGACAGUUAAUUUACUAUCUGGUUAUUCUCUCAGGUGCACAGAAUUGAGUUGACCAUACUCCUCAGUUCUUGGCACACUAUAUCAUCAUUGGUCCAUGUGAGGCCCUUUUAUUUUUUUUUCUUCAGUUUUGUCCCCUUCAUCACCCAUUCCUGAUCCCAUCCUCCCCGCCCCCUACACAGGCACCCACUCUCGUGUAUUUAACGUACGUCCUUCCAAUCCACCGUUCAUGUGUUUAUUUACAUAUAUGUGUAUCUGUGAAAAAUGUAUGGUAUUGCUGUGUGUUUUAAUUUACAUAAACAGUAUUGUACUAUAAA
RNAcentral lists this long non-coding RNA (1039 nucleotides) under Homo sapiens (human). Its description in RNAcentral is "non-protein coding lnc-GPR173-1:1". Lineage: Eukaryota; Metazoa; Chordata; Mammalia; Primates; Hominidae. The record is from RNAcentral.